Molecule: long non-coding RNA, 337 nt
Organism: Amblyraja radiata (thorny skate)
Lineage: Eukaryota; Metazoa; Chordata; Chondrichthyes; Rajiformes; Rajidae
Exons: 3
Source: RefSeq, a predicted model, not a curated record
GAUUCCUGCCCCUCCAAUGGUUGUACUACUGAUCGAAGAGGAGGAUUUACCAGGAGCCCUGCUGCGGUUAUGUUGCAUAGUCAAGGAUGGACAGAUUGCCUCUUUAAAGAACAUUGGCAGGAAAUUCGACACUCGUGCCCUGAUGUCCCAGAAAAAGUGAGGCGUCAUUUGCUCUCUUCCAAUUUGUGUGAACCAUUCUGCAACCUACGGAAUUUUGGAAGAUGAUGAACAGUGCGCCUGCCUGAAAGGCUACGGAUCAAGUUCUGGAAUUUGGGCAGCUAUUUUCCAGCCGGCACGGACUCCAUCUUCUAUGUCGUCAACUCUACGAUUCCUUGAA